AGGAAAGGAAUCGCCCAAUCACCAAGUGUUUGUUAGGUUCCUACUGUGUGCUGAGUCCGUGAAACAGACUCUGCCUUCCUGGAGAGCUUCCUGUCUAGGAGGGGAGAAGAGAGGAGCGGGGAGACAGGCAUUUGGAAGUGAGGUCUUCAGCAGAAAGGAUGGGUGGCAUUCUGAAAAGGUUUGAGCCAAGAUAGCAGAGGAAAGGCUGUGACUCUUCUUGCUCCCAACAAACCUGUCCACACACUCCAAAAAUAAACUCGGCUCAUGGACCAGUGAGGGGGCCUAGCAGUUGGCCAGGGGAAAUAGCUGUGGUCUCUGCUGAAGCUAAGGUAGACCACCCAUAUUCUGAACCAGUAAG
This is a long non-coding RNA of Dromiciops gliroides (monito del monte), 358 nucleotides long. RefSeq lists it as uncharacterized. The record is from RefSeq and is a predicted model, not a curated record. The transcript is spliced from 3 exons. NCBI's taxonomy places the organism in Eukaryota, Metazoa, Chordata, Mammalia, Microbiotheria, Microbiotheriidae.